Molecule: small RNA, 1744 nt
Filed under: Pan troglodytes (chimpanzee)
Lineage: Eukaryota; Metazoa; Chordata; Mammalia; Primates; Hominidae
Description: processed transcript
Source: RNAcentral
CAGCAAUGCAGAGUCCCUGGACAGGCUCCUGCCACCUGUGGGCACCAGGCGCUCUCCCCGGAAGCGGACCACCAGCCAGUGCAAGUCAGAGCCUCCCCUGCUGCGCACAAGCAAGCGUACCAUCUACACCGCGGGGCGGCCGCCCUGGUACAAUGAGCACGGCACGCAAUCCAAAGAGGCCUUCGCCAUCGGCUUGGGAGGCGGCAGUGCCUCUGGGAAGACCACUGUGGCCAGAAUGAUCAUCGAGGCCCUGGAUGUGCCCUGGGUGGUCUUGCUGUCCAUGGACUCCUUCUACAAGGUGCUGACUGAGCAGCAGCAGGAACAGGCCGCACACAACAACUUCAACUUCGACCACCCAGAUGCCUUUGACUUCGACCUCAUCAUUUCCACCCUCAAGAAGCUGAAGCAGGGGAAGAGUGUCAAGGUGCCCAUUUAUGACUUCACCACGCACAGCCGGAAGAAGGACUGGAAAACACUGUAUGGUGCAAACGUCAUCAUCUUUGAGGGCAUCAUGGCCUUUGCUGACAAGACACUGUUGGAGCUCCUGGACAUGAAGAUCUUUGUGGACACAGACUCCGACAUCCGCCUGGUACGGCGGCUGCGCCGGGACAUCAGUGAGCGCGGCCGGGACAUCGAGGGUGUCAUCAAGCAGUACAACAAGUUUGUCAAGCCCUCCUUCGACCAGUACAUCCAGCCCACCAUGCGCCUGGCAGACAUCGUGGUCCCCAGAGGGAGCGGCAACACGGUGGCCAUCGACCUGAUCGUGCAGCACGUGCACAGCCAGCUGGAGGAGCGUGAACUCAGCGUCAGCAGAGGAAGCUACGUUGGGAUAUGGCUGCGCUGGCCUCGGCACACCAGUGCCACCCGCUGCCCCGGACGCUGAGCGUCCUGAAGAGCACGCCGCAGGUACGGGGCAUGCACACCAUCAUCAGGUGAGGGCCCACCUGGGGACGGGGCGGCCCCGGGCGCGCGCUCCCGCUCAACUGUUGGCCCCACAGGGACAAGGAGACCAGUCGCGACGAGUUCAUCUUCUACUCCAAGAGACUCAUGCGGCUGCUCAUCGAGCACGCGCUCUCCUUCCUGCCCUUUCAGGACUGCGUCGUGCAGACCCCGCAGGGGCAGGACUAUGCGGGCAAGUGCUAUGCGGGGAAGCAGGUACCUGCCUGGGCACACCUGGGCGCGGGACAGGCUGCUGGGGCGGGAUGUGGGCGCUUAGCCUCCCCUCCCCGCAGAUCACCGGUGUGUCCAUUCUGCGCGCCGGUGAAACCAUGGAGCCCGCGCUGCGCGCUGUGUGCAAAGACGUGCGCAUCGGCACCAUCCUCAUCCAGACCAACCAGCUUACCGGGGAGCCCGAGCUCCACUACCUGAGGCUGCCCAAGGACAUCAGCGAUGACCACGUGAUCCUCAUGGACUGCACCGUGUCCACGGGCGCCGCGGCCAUGAUGGCAGUGCGCGUGCUCCUGGUGAGUGAGCCCUGGGUAGGCGGGGCAGGUUCAGGCAGAGGUGGGAUUUAACUGCCCAAUACACUCGGUAGGACCACGACGUGCCUGAGGACAAGAUCUUUCUGCUGUCGCUGCUAAUGGCAGAGAUGGGCGUGCACUCAGUGGCCUAUGCAUUUCCGCGAGUGAGAAUCAUCACCACGGCGGUGGACAAGCGGGUCAAUGACCUUUUCCGCAUCAUCCCAGGCAUUGGUGAGGCUGCCCAGGCCCUUCAGCCGCGCAUGAGGGCAGGGUGGGUGGCCCUG